UCGGACCUUGCACUAUCGGAUGAACCCAUAUGGGAUUAGCUAGUAGGUGGGGUAAAGGCUCACCUAGGCGACGAUCUCUAGCUGGUCUGAGAGGAUGAUCAGCCACACUGGGACUGAGACACGGCCCAGACUCCUACGGGAGGCAGCAGUGGGGAAUAUUGCACAAUGGGCGCAAGCCUGAUGCAGCCAUGCCGCGUGUAUGAAGAAGGCC
This 211-nucleotide ribosomal RNA is filed under the name Proteus mirabilis. Its description in RNAcentral is "partial 16S ribosomal RNA". It matches the Rfam family "Bacterial small subunit ribosomal RNA", at positions 202 to 416 of the family's 1533-position model. Lineage: Bacteria; Pseudomonadati; Pseudomonadota; Gammaproteobacteria; Enterobacterales; Morganellaceae. The record is from RNAcentral.